ACGGCAGCGCGGGGCAACCUGGCGNCGAGUGGCGAACGGGUGAGUAAUACAUCGGAACGUACCCANGAAGUGGGGGAUAACGUAGCGAAAGUUACGCUAAUACCGCAUAAGCUCUUUUGUCAGGGAAGAAACCGCUGUAGGCUAAUAUCUGGAGCUAAUGACGGUACCUGAAGAAUAAGCACCGGCUAACUACGUGCCAGCAGCCGCGGUAAUACGUAGGGUGCAAGCGUUAAUCGGAAUUACUGGGCGUAAAGCGUGCGCAGGCGGUUUUGUAAGUCUGUCGUGAAAUCCCCGGGCUUAACCUGGGAAUUGCGAUGGAGACUGCAAGGCUGGAGUCUGGCAGAGGGGGGUAGAAUUCCACGUGUAGCAGUGAAAUGCGUAGAGAUGUGGAGGAACACCGAUGGCGAAGGCAGCCCCCUGGGUCAAGACUGACGCUCAUGCACGAAAGCGUGGGGAGCAAACAGGAUUAGAUACCCUGGUAGUCCACGCCCUAAACGAUGUCUACUAGUUGUCGGGUCUUAAUUGACUUGGUAACGCAGCUAACGCGUGAAGUAGACCGCCUGGGGAGUACGGUCGCAAGAUUAAAACUCAAAGGAAUUGACGGGGACCCGCACAAGCGGUGGAUGAUGUGGAUUAAUUCGAUGCAACGCGAAAAACCUUACCUACCCUUGACAUGUACGGAAGCCACGAGAGA
Molecule: ribosomal RNA, 694 nt
Filed under: Massilia aurea
Lineage: Bacteria; Pseudomonadati; Pseudomonadota; Betaproteobacteria; Burkholderiales; Oxalobacteraceae
Description: bacterial SSU rRNA
Rfam family: Bacterial small subunit ribosomal RNA
Source: RNAcentral